CCCUAAAUAUUAUCACUCACCAACACUUCAACAGAGCUAAGUUCAAAGUCUCUCUUGGACUUCUGCACUUAACUAUCACAUUCAAAUGUUGCAAUGACCCUCUAAUUGGCUAAAUGCAAUCAUCUCUAUCUCUUUGUGGAUGUACAAAUCAGAAGUAAACAACCAAAGUCCAUAGGUAGAGUAGCAUUGUCAGUUCCACCUUUUAUUAGUUUCUCUCUCCUUGAACUGCAAUUGGGGAGAUAAACUGGUGCCAUUACAUAGAAGAUAGAAAAAACCUUGGUGAUUCAGGGGAUCUUACAGAACCAGACAAGACUAGACAGCAGAAUCCUACUACUACUACUACUAGGCCCAUGCUGCUUUGUAAAAUGGAAGCAAUGCCCAAGAAACACGUGGGUGUUCAACAAGGCGUCGCCAUAUUGCUUAUGUAAGAGAUAGUGACGUUUCGAAAAUUCUUCAGCAAACGUGAGGAUGACUGUUGCUAGGCUGGUCUCGCGCACACCUUCCAAACCAGUUACAGCUAGUCUAAUUCCUACUGUUUUACAGCCGAUCAGCGCGAACAGAGAUACCUAUAUAGUCGUCGAGAGAGCCGUGGGAAAAUCGAGAUUACGUUAAAACUGUUAUAUUGGUUUAAUUUCUGGUGACGGACUGAAGAUAAUUGCAAGUAUAAUCCAAUCCUCUGAUUCUAUUGGAAAGACUACAGGGUGAACUUCAACAGGGCUUGAUACUUCUGUUUCGUUAGUCUCCCUCCCCGGUGGCUGAGUGGUAAGUCUGAAGGCUUAUAACGUUAAAAAUCGGAUUUCGAUACUCGCAGAGAGCACAGAACAGAUAGCCCACUGUGUAGCUUUAUGCUUAACAACAAACAAAUAAUUUCGUUAAGAGCCCUUAUGUUCUAGUGGUCCCAUUCUGACUACUGGAAUAGAUAAGUUAGUAUGUUUAUUUGGUAUCUUGCUGGCUAAUCAUUAUCAAUGGUACUGGAAUUAAAAUGUUACACAUUCAGAAAACUUCCUUUCUGUUACGAAUUGUUACUGUUUACUAAAGAAGUGUAUUGAUAAUAUGAGGAUCGUUCUUAUUUUCUUUGUUGCUAUUCUUCGGGUGACUUUCAGUGAUUUGUUUACUGACGCAAUACGAGAAGGCUUUAAAUGUAAAAUAUGAGAAGCAGGAGCAAUUAGAUAAUCAUGUUGAUCAUGUUUCUGUGUAACUUCUUCCCUUAACUAUGAGGUACAAGUGAGAUCUAUGCCUUUAUAGAAACAAUUAAUAAUCAUGUUGAUCAUGUUUCUGUGUAACUUCUUCCUUUAACUGUGAGAUACAAAUGAGAUAUAUGCCUUUAUUGAGAUCUAUGCCUUUAUAGAAACAAUUAAUAAUCAUGUUGAUCAUGUUUCUGUGUAACUUCUUCACUUAACUGUGAGAUACAAAGUGAGAUCUAUGCCUUUAUAGAAACAAUUAAUAAUCAUGUUGAUCAUG
Limulus polyphemus (Atlantic horseshoe crab) is the source of this 1461-nucleotide long non-coding RNA. RefSeq lists it as uncharacterized. The record is from RefSeq and is a predicted model, not a curated record. Lineage: Eukaryota; Metazoa; Arthropoda; Merostomata; Xiphosura; Limulidae. The transcript has 3 exons.